GUGUAGGGUAGGCUUAAACAAGGAAAAUAAAAAUCAAACUAUGUGUGGCAUUUUGGGAGGGGUAGAAGAAAUGGUAGAAUGAAUGGAUGCUCAGAAGCAACAAGAAAUAAUAACAAAUAAAACUCACAAGAUUUUUCACUUUUUUUUAUAUACUUCGAAAUUUUUUUUUGAAUUUUUUUUCAAUCAAUUUUUUUUUCGAUUUUUUUUUGAAUUUCCUCUUCUUCUUUUUUUGAUUUCUUUUUUUCAAUUACAAUAUGCUGAAAUACAAAGGGAAGAGAAA
Molecule: long non-coding RNA, 280 nt
Filed under: Gossypium raimondii (Peruvian cotton)
Lineage: Eukaryota; Viridiplantae; Streptophyta; Magnoliopsida; Malvales; Malvaceae
Description: long non-coding RNA (GRAI_LNC011264)
Source: RNAcentral